AACGCACGAGACCUGCGGACCUGCGGAAGGAUCAUUAAUGAGAAGCUGCCCCUCGUGGGUAGACCUCCCACCCUCUGUGAACUUACCUUUGUUGCUUUGGCAGGCCCGUCCUCUGGACCGCCGGCUUCGGCUGGCCCGCGCCUGCCAGAGGAUUCCAAACCCUGUCUGUCAGUGUUGUCUGAGUCUAUAUGAAAUCGUUAAAACUUUUAACAACGGAUCUCUAGAUCGGAAGAGCACACG
This 240-nucleotide unclassified non-coding RNA is filed under the name soil metagenome. RNAcentral's name for it is "partial contains 5.8S ribosomal RNA, internal transcribed spacer 2, and large subunit ribosomal RNA". The record is from RNAcentral.